Molecule: ribosomal RNA, 253 nt
Filed under: uncultured bacterium
Lineage: Bacteria
Description: partial 16S ribosomal RNA
Rfam family: Bacterial small subunit ribosomal RNA
Source: RNAcentral
UACGAAGGGGGCUAGCGUUGCUCGGAAUCACUGGGCGUAAAGGGUGCGUAGGCGGGUCUUUAAGUCAGGGGUGAAAUCCUGGAGCUCAACUCCAGAACUGCCUUUGAUACUGAAGAUCUUGAGUCCGGGAGAGAUGAGUGGAACUGCGAGUGUAGAGGUGAAAUUCGUAGAUAUUCGCAAGAACACCAGUGGCGAAGGCGGCUCACUGGCCCGGUACUGACGCUGAGGCACGAAAGCGUGGGGAGCAAACAGG